This 274-nucleotide ribosomal RNA is filed under the name uncultured bacterium. RNAcentral's name for it is "partial 16S ribosomal RNA". It matches the Rfam family "Bacterial small subunit ribosomal RNA", at positions 523 to 796 of the family's 1533-position model. The record is from RNAcentral.
AUACAGAGGGUGCAAGCGUUAUUCGGAAUUACUGGGCGUAAAGCGCGCGUAGGCGGAUGAUUAAGUCAGUUGUGAAAGCCCUGGGCUCAACCUAGGAACUGCAUCUGAUACUGGUCAUCUAGAGUUUAUGAGAGGGAAGUGGAAUUCCAGGUGUAGCAGUGAAAUGCGUAGAUAUCUGGAGGAACAUCAGUGGCGAAGGCGACUUCCUGGCUUAGAACUGACGCUGAGGUGCGAAAGCGUGGGUAGCGAACGGCAUUAGAUACCCGAGUAGUCC